CAAUCAUAUUCCAAUAUAUAAAUGAAUCAAAUCAACGCAUUGUACACCUUAAAUUUACACAAUGCUAUAUGUCAAGCAUAUUUUAAUUACUAAGAAAAAAUAAUAGGAGCUAACACUGGUAUAUGUCAGGCACUGGUCUAAGUGUUUCUAUAUAUUAACUUAUUUUAAUUGAAUUAUCAAGGACAAUCCUAUGAAGCGGAUACUAUGAUGUCUCCGUCUUACAGAGGAAAAAUCGAGGCACAGAGAGGUUGAGUAAUUUGCCCAAGUUUACACAACUAGAAAGCAGUAGAAUUGAGGUUUGAACCCAGAGAGUCACAUCCUUGAACUCGUCCUCUUAACCACAACAAUCUUGACUGCCUCAAAUUCUUGGAGCUCCUAGAAACUUCCUUUCGCCUCAAGGCUGUCACAUCUGUUUCUCCGUCAUGCUUUAGUGGUUCUCCAGUAGAGGUUUGGGAAUGCACAUUGGCGCCUUCAGCCUGGGAGGGUACCAUUUCCCACACUGCAGCGUUAUUUUUCUGAAAUGUCUAUGCUGCUUUUUAGCUGAUACUGUCCCCUUGCCCUGACUGAAGGUUUGAUGAACCCUCUGGAUUAUAUAAUGUGGUGUGAACUCUCUUCCUCUGGCCGUAGAAGAUGAUGGUUCUCAGAUCACUGACAUGAACAUUUCCUGUCCUUCCCAGCUAAUGAGGAACAGCCUUUCCAGGAAACGUGUGCUUUGUAGAGUCUGAUAUUAAGAGUCAGCCUGAGAAUGGGGUGCAGUUAAGUAUGAUUAAAAGUAGAAGAUUAAAAAUGUUACAACAGGAAAUGGAAAAGAAUGAGAAUUAUGAACAAGGCGGCUCUUGCUACACUUUGACCUCAAAAAGAAGCUACCUAGUCACAUGAGAAGGUGAAGGGAUGCUGUUACCAUAAAUCACUGUUAAAAUUCACAUUAACAAAAUUACAUUUACACAUGAGGAGAGGGAAAGCUAAUUGGAUUCUGAUGUAGCCAAACUAAUCAGUAUUCUUUUCCCAGGCAGAAGAUAGGAUUUAUACAGAGAUGCCACUGGCAUAUUAAUGGCCGUUGGUGAACAGCACUAAAUGGUUUGGGGUAACUAUUAGCAAUGAACCGGCUUUUUAAUCUAACCUCAUAGAUGUGAACCAAGAAAGAUUAUCUUCUAAGACACGUGUAGCCAGAGUGUAGCCUCAACUUAGCACCAGGUUCUAAGCAAAACAUUUGAACAUCUUUGGGCGUCAAAACCAUGGGUGGAUAGUCGAUGACAGAAAUCCAAUGACAGCAUGAGAGAUGAGUAUUAGAGAGUAACAUGUGGGUGGGGUUGUGAAAAACAGCUUCUAAACUUGGAGAAAAAAAUGAAUCCUUCCUUUUCUUCUCCCCUAACCUGCCUUCAUACACUCCAGGGUUUCUCCUUUAUCCCUAUCCAUCAUAAAGUAAGGAAAGAAUAAACAUUGGCAUGCCACUUCAGCAAGGUCUGAUGUCCACUCAAAAUGUUUGGCCUGGAGACCAGAUUUCUGCUUCCAGCCAAGAUGGAGUACCAAGGACCAGAAUUACCCUCCCUCUUGAAACAACCAAAGACCUAGAAAGUGUAUGAAACAAUGAUGUUCAAGACACUGAAUAUCAGGUAACAAAACGUAAUGACCUAUGUGAGACAGGAAAGUGAGUCCUGUAAUUGUCCCAACUCACUGCUUUGAGAUAAUGUACAGGCCACAGUUCAGGGAAGGGAAACACAGAGAAAGACCUGAGUUGAGGAGAUAGACCUGAGAGAUGGAGAAGAUCAAGGCAGCUGGAGUGCUCAGGACAGAACACAAGGAAAAAGAGAGAGAGAUCCACAGAGAAUCAUAUAAAAUAUAAAUGGUCUAAAUGUCCCAAUAAAAAGGCAGAGAUUGUGCAUAAAAAAUUCAACUAUAUGUUGCCUACUAGAAAUUCCUCUUAAAGAAAAACAUGAAUUGGUUAAAAAGUAAAAGAAUGGAAAAAGAUACACCAUGCUAACAGUAAUCAAGGAAUCAAAAGGAAACUGGAGCAACUAAUUAACAUCAGACAAAGUGUAUUUAGAGCAAAGAAUAUCUCCUGGGACAAGGAGGGUCAUUUCAUAAACAUAAAGAGGUCGAUUCACCAAGAAGGCAUAACAAUCCUAAACUUUUAUGCACCUAAUGAGAGAGCAUCAAAAUACAUGAAAAACUGAUAGAAGUGCAAGGAGAAAUAGAUAAAUAAACAAUUAACCAGAGAUUUCAGUUUCUCUCUCCCAAUAAUUGACAGAACAAGUAGACAGGAGACUUCAAGAAGACAAGAACAACACUAUCAAUCACAUUGACCUAAUUGACAUUUAUAGAACACUUCACCAUAUGACUAAAGAAGACACAUUUUUUUCAAGUGCACGUAGAUCAUUUACUGAGGUUGACUAUAUUCUGG
This 2401-nucleotide long non-coding RNA is filed under the name Equus caballus (horse). Its description in RNAcentral is "lncRNA (ENSECAG00000047060.1)". Lineage: Eukaryota; Metazoa; Chordata; Mammalia; Perissodactyla; Equidae. The record is from RNAcentral.